GGGACACAAUCCUGAGGCGUGAUGACGAGCUCUCUUUUGAGCGAAGUGGUUGAUGCCAUACUUCCAGGAAAAUCUUCUAAGCUUCAGGUAAUAAGAGACCGUACCCCAAACCGACACAGGUGGGUGGGAUGAAAAUUCUAAGGCGCUUGAGAGAACUCUGGUGAAGGAAC
This 170-nucleotide ribosomal RNA is filed under the name Bacillus thuringiensis. RNAcentral describes it as "partial 23S ribosomal RNA". It matches the Rfam family "Bacterial large subunit ribosomal RNA", at positions 1545 to 1713 of the family's 2925-position model. The record is from RNAcentral. Lineage: Bacteria; Bacillati; Bacillota; Bacilli; Caryophanales; Bacillaceae.